Non-coding RNA from Caenorhabditis elegans, 114 nucleotides. Lineage: Eukaryota; Metazoa; Nematoda; Chromadorea; Rhabditida; Rhabditidae. The record is from Ensembl.
GACGCACUAUGCUGUGCAUGUGAGAGGAACUAGAGAGGUUAGACAAAAACGCUCUCAUUUCUCUUUGUCAUCUACGCCAACAAUGACGUAACAUUUGCAAGUCUCGAAUGUUAC